RNAcentral lists this RNase P RNA (447 nucleotides) under Peniophora sp. CONT. Its description in RNAcentral is "Nuclear RNase P". It matches the Rfam family "Nuclear RNase P". From Rfam's summary of the family: Ribonuclease P (RNase P) is a ubiquitous endoribonuclease, found in archaea, bacteria and eukarya as well as chloroplasts and mitochondria. Lineage: Eukaryota; Fungi; Basidiomycota; Agaricomycetes; Russulales; Peniophoraceae. The record is from Rfam by way of RNAcentral.
ACAGGUCGAAAGCCGCGAGGCUCGCCCCGUACAGACGCAUCCUACUGCAUCUCUCUUGCGAGCGGGCUAAGGUCUGAGAGUUUGUCCUCCUCGAUAGGCUCUAGCAGAGCCCCGUGGUAACCCACGGCGCGACGUACCAGCAAUAUCCCGCGAAACAUCACCCGGAGACCUUUUGCCUUUAGGCGGGAGUGAGGGACGCGCCCCCUUGUGUACCUUCGGGGAAGCCUGGACGGCAGAAGCGUUCUGGGCUUGCCCAGCGCGGGUUGGAACGCGUCGCGAGGACUGGGUGUCUGGUUCUGUACCCUCUUUGCCUGUCAGUAGUCGCUUCACGGCGGCGGCGGCGGGUUAGGUGUACAGUCAGUCGUUCCCUUGAGUGCACUUCGCGGCGCGCGCUCUCGAUCUUCGAAUCAUGGGCGCGUAACUCGAUUCAGACUACUCUUGGCCUGU